CAAUAGCGUAUAUUAAAGUUGUUGCAGUUAAAAAGCUCGUAGUUGGAGUUCAGAGUGAGCUCAGCCGGUCCGCCUCAUGGGUGAGUACUGGUCGACUCUCUCUUGUUUGUGAAUCCCGCCCGGAGUUAAUUCUUCGGGAUGUGGAGUUCACAUCGUUUACCUUGAAAAAUUAGAGUGUUCAAAGCAGGCGUUUGCUUGAAUAUAUUAGCAUGGAAUAAUGGAAUAGGACCCUGGUUCUAUUUUGUUGGUUUUGUAGAACCAGAGUAAUGAUUAAUAGGAGUAGUUGGGGCGAUUCAUAUUUCUAUGUCAGAGGUGGAAAUUACUUGGUAUUUAUUGAAAGAAUGAACUUACUUGCGAAAGACAUUUGUCCAACGGAAUGUUUUUCUAUUAAUUACAAGAAACGAAAGUUAAGGGGAGUCGAAGACGAUUAGA
RNAcentral lists this ribosomal RNA (432 nucleotides) under uncultured eukaryote. RNAcentral describes it as "bacterial SSU rRNA". It matches the Rfam family "Eukaryotic small subunit ribosomal RNA", at positions 592 to 1012 of the family's 1831-position model. The record is from RNAcentral.